This 422-nucleotide ribosomal RNA is filed under the name uncultured Glomeromycotina. Its description in RNAcentral is "SSU rRNA". It matches the Rfam family "Eukaryotic small subunit ribosomal RNA", at positions 672 to 1092 of the family's 1831-position model. The record is from RNAcentral. Lineage: Eukaryota; Fungi; Glomeromycota.
GGUAUGCACUGGCUUCGCUGAUUCCUCCUUUCUGAAGAACUGUAAUGCCAUUAAUUUGGUGUUGCAGGGAAACAGGACUGUUACUUUGAAAAAAUUAGAGUGUUUAAAGCAGGCUAACGCUUGAAUACAUUAGCAUGGAAUAAUGAAAUAGGACGUUUGAUCCUAUUUUGUUGGUUUCUAGGACUGACGUAAUGAUUAAUAGGGAUAGUUGGGGGCAUUAGUAUUCAAUUGUCAGAGGUGAAAUUCUUGGAUUUAUUGAAGACUGACUACUGCGAAAGCAUUUGCCAAGGAUGUUUUCAUUAAUCAAGAACGAAAGUUAGGGGAUCGAAGACGAUCAGAUACCGUCGUAGUCUUAACCAUAAACUAUGCCGACUAGGGAUCGGAUGAUGUUAAUUUUUUAAUGACUCAUUCGGCGCCUUACG